This 2998-nucleotide long non-coding RNA is filed under the name Homo sapiens (human). RNAcentral's name for it is "HSALNT0004390". Lineage: Eukaryota; Metazoa; Chordata; Mammalia; Primates; Hominidae. The record is from RNAcentral.
GUCUUCCCACAUCUUAUAUUACAAAUAUAUGUAAACUAUAGAAAACCCAGAAAAUGUCACAUUUCUUUAGUUUAAAAAGAGAUAAGAUUUUGGCAGGUAAUGUAUUUAAGGUAAUUAAGAUAGAGAGAACUGUAAAGUAGGCUAUGUUCCAGAAGGGUGAGUCUAGUUUGGCUUGAGAAUAACUGAAGAUGAGGUUGGAAAAAUAGGUUCAAUUCAGAUCACUUGAUGAUCCUGAAUGUUACACACAGUAAAGAAUUUGGACUUGAUUUCAACUCUCUAAGCCUGUUUCAUCUGUACAAUUAGGAAAAUUACUAUGUUGUGAGGAUUAAUGGAGAGAAGCAAACACAUGGGAGAGAUAUCCUGUGACAAAUGGAGCAGAUGUUAUUAGGAGUUGGAGACACAGAUUCUUUUCCUUAGUGUAAACUAUCCCCACCUCUCAGGGUGGCCUGAAAUUCAGUCUCUCAUUUAUCUUAUUUUUCUGUAAUGCACAUCUUAACCACCAGAGAGAGCCUGAUACAAAGGAAUCUCAACUCCAAGUACAACAGAGAAAUUAAGCUGGGCAUAAGAUGUGGAAUCCUGGAUACAACUGCAGCGAUUCUCAAUGGUAGGGUAGGGAAUGGAUCCCAGUGCCUCCUCUAUGGGCCUUCUUAGACCCAUCCCAAGGAGAGGGGGUGGGGCAUGCUGCCACAACCUAGAAUUUAGCAGCUAGCCAGAUGUAAGGUCACCAGGAAAGAGGUGAGGUGGGUAAGGAUGAGGGCCAGAUCUAGUUUAGGGACCUGAAUUUCUGUAUCUCAAGCAAAAGAGACUCUCAACUCUGCUCAUAAGCCACCAGGCCCAACUCCUUCCUGGGCUACCCCAUGGCAGGCCAGGUCAUCUAGCUGGCCCGGGAACUUUAGAAAAUUUCUAAAGAGCAGGGGGUGCAUCGUGGGGAAGGAGGAAGGGGAGAGAGUGGCAUAUCUAAGAGCUGUCUUUAGGGUGACAUCCACAUGGCAUCAAGACCUCAGCCUUUAGGUCUAUCAGAAAGGGCAGUGGGACCUAGCUUCUCCAAUCAUGAUUCACUAGCCUGGCAUCUUACAGCAUUUUUACAAAACCUCCUUUGCUUUCUUGGAUUUUUGUUACGAAUGUUAAAAUGAAAGCCUAGGGACAUUGAACAAUUUACCUGAGGUCGAAGAGCAGCAGCCAAGGGCAGAAGUGGGCCUGUAGGCAAUAGGAGUGGCUCUGAGGGGCUGAGGAAAGGGAAGGCAAGCAGGUAGAGCAACAGCCUGCUUGUCAAGCUGCAAGCAUUGGCUCUUGGCCAGGCCUCAUACCCACUCCUCCAGGGCCAGCUCUGCUGCCAGGCCCCAGGCUGCCAGCCCUACCUCCACACUCCCACCCCAGUCCCCUGAGAGCCCAUCACCUUGGCAACAGCCAGAGAAAGGCCCAGCUAAAAUAUUUAUGGCUCAAAACAGCCUAGAGGCUUGGGAGGGGGGAAGAGGGAAAGGCUGAUGUCAUCCCUUCUCAGCUUACAGGGGAGGUGACUGACAUACAGGGCAGCUGGGUGGGUGGGCCAAGCCCAACAAGUCAGGGCUCUCAAAGGAAGAUCCCAAGGGCCAUAAGUGGUAACAGGAGGAGGACGAAGACUGUGACAGGUGACAGGACUGGAUAAGACCCACAAGCCUGGGAAAAAAGGAGGAAGGAAACUUAAAGGUUGAGCAGUAUUGUGUCUAGACCCCAUGCCAGGCAUUUCAAACACAUCAUUUGCUUCUCAGAUCCCAUUCAGUACGUAGCAAUUCUUAUCCUACUUUGAUGGAGUAAACAGGCCCUACAGCUCUUCUUAAAGCAAAAAAAAAAAAAAAAAAAAAAAAAAAAAUUAAAACAAGCUCUGGAAAUAUGCAAAUGAUGAGCUGGGAUUUGAAUUCAGAUCUGUUUGGCUUCAGCCCUGUAAGCUUUCCUAUAAAAUUCUGUGGCUCCCGAGUAGAAAUCCUAGCAGACUGAAGGUAUAGCGAUCUAGGAACCUAACACCAGCUCCUCAGUCAGUGACUCAGGUUCUGUGCCUCCAUUUAUAUAUGAUGAAGAUGCCAUCUGAUUCCCUAAUUCCCCACCCCAAACUCCUCCCUUGUCAGCCCUGGACUCAGAGCAUCCAAUGUAAACAACAGGGUGACAAACUCAUCGAGGCUGGCCUGUGACUUUUCUAGUUUUAGCACUGGAUAGUCCCAUAUCCCAGAAACUCUCUCUUGGGUAAACCUAGAUGAUCUGUCAUCCUAGACGAACCCCUCAUGCAAACAUAAUGCUUUAAUAUUUCAAAGCACUUGUGGCUGUGAGAGGUACAAACAGGUCAAAAGAAUAGGCCAUGAAGUCUGAUAGUAUAGACCAUGAAGUCUUUUUCUAACCAUAGGCAAAUUUUUUAUCCUCCUUGAGUCUCAGUUUUUCUUAUUUUCCUGGUACAUACUAAGAAAUCAGUAAAUUAUUAGCUGUUAUUUACAGUAAUCAACAAUGAUGACAGAAACAGGCUCAGAGAUUAAAUAGCUUGCCCAGUGUAAAUCAACUGACUUUAAGGAAUCCCUUUCCAUUAUACUUCUGUUCCUGCUAAGGAUGAAUCCAAGCUCACUAGAAUGCCCCAGGCACAGUUAAAAUGCAGAUAGGCUCUAUUCUCUCCCUAAACUCAGUCCUUCCCCUUGUUCCUUUGUUAGGAUAAAUAACCAGAAGGCAUUAGGGAAGAGUACAGUAUCAGAGGUCCCUAGCCUCUCAGGAAGCUGAGUAUAAAUCAACCUAGAAAUAGGCCAGAGGAAACCAGAAGCCUAUCAAAGGCUGACUUUCCAAUCCUUCAAGGGAAAAUGGCAGAACAAAUAGCUGGCCUAGUAUAGCUGGAAGGAAAGUGAGAGCUAAACAAGGGGGCUUUGGCUCUCUCCCAAAGCUGAUAGAAGCUACCAGAGUGGGACCAUUCAUCACUUGACCAAACCUUUAUUGAGGUCCUCAGGGGCAGAUAUUUGUUGGGGAGAAAUAUAGUACAGAGGUGGAA